UUUUAGACGUCGGCGCACGACCCGCAGGCUCAGUGCAAUUCAAGAUGCUGAUAAACUUAAGGUCUGGUGCUUGAAAGACAGGAUUAUGGCCCUUGAAGUUUUCAAGGAGAUAGGUGUGUUGGAACAUGAUGACUGAUGCCUGCAGAAUAGAGGCUCUGCUUUCUUGGUUUUCUUUAUGAUGGCAGCAGGGGUGACUUUUGAAAAGGUGCCAGAUAUCUGUAGGAAUAUCUAUGCCCCAUCGAGAAUUUCCAUAUAAUUAAUUCAUUUCCAUAAUUUAAAGUAGUUUUUCUGUCACCCAGCCCCUCAACUUGAAGUCUGACAUACUAACUAGACUAUUCAACAGCUAUCUUAAGACAACUUUGUUAACCAUAUUUUAAUUUACAGAUUAUUUUAAAAUUAUAUUCUUUUGACUAUUCCGAAGAUUAUAUAUUCUUUUGUGGCAUGUUCUUGUAUAUUGCUGUUGAGGAAUAUAUGUGGUAAUAGUGAGCUUCAUUUUACCUUAGGUCUGUCUCGUACUGACCAAAGUAUCUUGCAUACCUGUAGUGUAUAAUGCUACAUAGUAGGCAUGCAUGUAAUGCCACCUUUGUUUUAUUGCACAAAGAAAAAUUUUUCGUAGUGUCUUUAAAACCUUGCACUUUAUGUGCUUGCAUGUUGUUCCUUAGAGCAUUUAUUUAAAUGAUUAGUGACCCUUUUGACAAAAUGUGAUUGGUGGAUCCCAACGGGCUGGGGUUGGUUGCAAAGAAGCAUGAAGGAAUUUGGAAGAAUCUUCUAAAUCUUGGUAAGGUUGGUAAUUGUGUUUGUCAGAUUUUAGGAAAAUUUAUUGAAUGUAAAUUAUAUUUAAAUAAACAUGACUU
Long non-coding RNA from Talpa occidentalis (Iberian mole), 854 nucleotides. RefSeq lists it as uncharacterized. The transcript is spliced from 3 exons. Lineage: Eukaryota; Metazoa; Chordata; Mammalia; Eulipotyphla; Talpidae. The record is from RefSeq and is a predicted model, not a curated record.